RNAcentral lists this ribosomal RNA (430 nucleotides) under fungal sp. 4.31. RNAcentral's name for it is "eukaryotic LSU rRNA". The stretch from base 69 to 222 matches the Rfam family "5.8S ribosomal RNA". Lineage: Eukaryota; Fungi. The record is from RNAcentral.
UCNAAUGCAACCUUNAACAUACCCCUUUGAAGUAUCAGAAUGUACCUUGCGUUAACUCGCACAAAUACAACUUUCAACAACGGAUCUCUUGGCUCUCGCAUCGAUGAAGAACGCAGCGAAAUGCGAUAAGUAAUGUGAAUUGCAGAAUUCAGUGAAUCAUCGAAUCUUUGAACGCACCUUGCGCCCCUUGGCAUUCCGAGGGGCACGCCUGUUUGAGUGUCGUGAACUCCUCCACCCUCUACCUUUUUCGGAAGGCAUUGGGCUGGGAUUUGGGAGCUUGCGGGUCCCUGGUCGAUCCGCUCUCCUUGAAUACAUUAGCGAAGCCCUUGCGGCCUUGGUGUGAUAAUCAUCUACGCCUCGGUUUAGCGAACAUAGGGGACUCGCUUCCAACCGUCUCGCAAGAGACAACAUUGCAAACUUGACCUCAAAU